CCUACGGGGGGCAGCAGUAGGGAAUCUUCCACAAUGGGCGCAAGCCUGAUGGAGCAACACCGCGUGAGUGAAGAAGGGUUUCGGCUCGUAAAGCUCUGUUGUUGGAGAAGAACGUGCGUGAGAGUAACUGUUCACGCAGUGACGGUAUCCAACCAGAAAGUCACGGCUAACUACGUGCCAGCAGCCGCGGUAAUACGGAGGUGGCAAGCGUUAUCCGGAUUUAUUGGGCGUAAAGCGAGCGCAGGCGGUUGCUUAGGUCUGAUGUGAAAGCCUUCGGCUUAACCGAAGAAGUGCAUCGGAAACCGGUCAACUUGAGUGCAGAAGAGGACAGUGGAACUCCAUGUGUAGCGGUGGAAUGCGUAGAUAUAUGGAAGAACACCAGUGGCGAAGGCGGCUGUCUGGUCUGCAACUGACGCUGAGGCGCGAAAGCAUGGGUAGCGAACAGGAUUAGAUACCCGGGUAGUC
RNAcentral lists this ribosomal RNA (465 nucleotides) under uncultured bacterium. Its description in RNAcentral is "partial 16S ribosomal RNA". It matches the Rfam family "Bacterial small subunit ribosomal RNA", at positions 338 to 795 of the family's 1533-position model. The record is from RNAcentral.